This 496-nucleotide ribosomal RNA is filed under the name uncultured bacterium. RNAcentral describes it as "partial 16S ribosomal RNA". It matches the Rfam family "Bacterial small subunit ribosomal RNA", at positions 29 to 507 of the family's 1533-position model. The record is from RNAcentral.
AUGAACGCUGGCGGCGUGCCUAAUACCUGCAAGUCGAGCGAACAGACGAGGAGCUUGCUCCUCUGACGUUAGCGGCGGACGGGUGAGUAACACGUGGAUAACCUACCUAUAAGACUGGGAUAACUUCGGGAAACCGGAGCUAAUACCGGAUAAUAUAUUGAACCGCAUGGUUCAAUAGUGAAAGACGGUUUUGCUGUCACUUAUAGAUGGAUCCGCGCCGCAUUAGCUAGUUGGUAAGGUAACGGCUUACCAAGGCAACGAUGCGUAGCCGACCUGAGAGGGUGAUCGGCCACACUGGAACUGAGACACGGUCCAGACUCCUACGGGAGGCAGCAGUAGGGAAUCUUCCGCAAUGGGCGAAAGCCUGACGGAGCAACGCCGCGUGAGUGAUGAAGGUCUUCGGAUCGUAAAACUCUGUUAUUAGGGAAGAACAAAUGUGUAAGUAACUAUGCACGUCUUGACGGUACCUAAUCAGAAAGCCACGGCUAACUACGUG